GGCGGCAUGCCUUACACAUGCAAGUCGAACGGUAACAGGUCUUCGGAUGCUGACGAGUGGCGAACGGGUGAGUAAUACAUCGGAACGUGCCCAGUAAUGGGGGAUAGCUCGGCGAAAGCCGGAUUAAUACCGCAUACGCCCUGAGGGGGAAAGUGGGGGAUCGCAAGACCUCACGUUAUUGGAGCGGCCGAUGGCUGAUUAGCUAGUUGGUAGGGUAAAGGCCUACCAAGGCGACGAUCAGUAGCUGGUCUGAGAGGACGAUCAGCCACACUGGGACUGAGACACGGCCCAGACUCCUACGGGAGGCAGCAGUGGGGAAUUUUGGACAAUGGGGGAAACCCUGAUCCAGCAAUGCCGCGUGUGCGAAGAAGGCCUUCGGGUUGUAAAGCACUUUUGUCAGGGAAGAAAUCCUUUGGGCUAAUACCCUAGGGGGAUGACGGUACCUGAAGAAUAAGCACCGGCUAACUACGUGCCAGCAGCCGCGGUAAUACGUAGGGUGCAAGCGUUAAUCGGAAUUACUGGGCGUAAAGCGUGCGCAGGCGGUUGUGUAAGACAGGUGUGAAAUCCCCGGGCUUAACCUGGGAAUCGCAUUUGUGACUGCACGACUAGAGUGUGUCAGAGGGGGGUGGAAUUCCACGUGUAGCAGUGAAAUGCGUAGAUAUGUGGAGGAACACCAAUGGCGAAGGCAGCCCCCUGGGAUAACACUGACGCUCAUGCACGAAAGCGUGGGGAGCAAACAGGAUUAGAUACCCUGGUAGUCCACGCCCUAAACGAUGUCAACUAGUUGUUGGGGAUUUACUUCCUUGGUAACGUAGCUAACGCGUGAAGUUGACCGCCUGGGGAGUACGGCCGCAAGGUUAAAACUCAAAGGAAUUGGCGGGGACCCGCACAAGCGGUGGAUGAUGUGGAUUAAUUCGAUGCAACGCGAAAAACCUUACCUACCCUUGACAUGGCAGGAACUUUCCAGAGAUGGAUUGGUGCCCGAAAGGGAACCUGCACACAGGUGCUGCAUGGCUGUCGUCAGCUCGUGUCGUGAGAUGUUGGGUUAAGUCCCGCAACGAGCGCAACCCUUGUCAUUAGUUGCUACGAAAGGGCACUCUAAUGAGGCUGCCGGUGACAAACCGGAGGAAGGUGGGGAUGACGUCAAGUCCUCAUGGCCCUUAUGGGUAGGGCUUCACACGUCAUACAAUGGUCGGUACAGAGGGUUGCCAAGCCGCGAGGUGGAGCCAAUCCCAGAAAACCGAUCGUAGUCCGGAUCGCAGUCUGCAACUCGACUGCGUGAAGUCGGAAUCGCUAGUAAUCGCGGAUCAGAAUGCCGCGGUGAAUACGUUCCCGGGUCUUGUACACACCGCCCGUCACACCAUGGGAGUGGGUUCUACCAGAAGUGGCUAGUCUAACCGCAAGGAGGACGGUCACCACGGUAGGAUUCAUGACUGGGGUGAAGUC
Molecule: ribosomal RNA, 1446 nt
Filed under: uncultured organism
Description: 16S ribosomal RNA
Rfam family: Bacterial small subunit ribosomal RNA
Source: RNAcentral